UCAAACUUGGUCAUUUAGAGGAAGUAAAAGUCGUAACAAGGUUUCCGUAGGUGAACCUGCGGAAGGAUCAUUAACAAAUCCAGUGUCCUGCUUCAUGCCCUGCAUGUCUCAGUCACACAUGUUCCAUGUGCAUUGUAUCCACUCUGCAUGUGAUUACAUUUCUGCUUGAUUGUCUGAUUGUGACUAUUGAAAUGAUACAAUAAUGACUUUUAACAAUGGAUCUCUAGGCUCUUGCAUCGAUGAAGAACGCAGC
This 253-nucleotide unclassified non-coding RNA is filed under the name uncultured fungus. RNAcentral's name for it is "partial contains small subunit ribosomal RNA, internal transcribed spacer 1, and 5.8S ribosomal RNA". The stretch from base 1 to 73 matches the Rfam family "Eukaryotic small subunit ribosomal RNA", at positions 1759 to 1831 of the family's 1831-position model. The record is from RNAcentral. Lineage: Eukaryota; Fungi.